RNAcentral lists this ribosomal RNA (509 nucleotides) under Mycobacterium gordonae. Its description in RNAcentral is "bacterial SSU rRNA". It matches the Rfam family "Bacterial small subunit ribosomal RNA", at positions 1 to 522 of the family's 1533-position model. The record is from RNAcentral. Lineage: Bacteria; Bacillati; Actinomycetota; Actinomycetes; Mycobacteriales; Mycobacteriaceae.
UGGAGAGUUUGAUCCUGGCUCAGACGAACGCUGGCGGCGUGCUUAACACAUGCAAGUCGAACGGUAAGGCCCUUCGGGGUACACGAGUGGCGAACGGGUGAGUAACACGUGGGUAAUCUGCCCUGCACAUCGGGAUAAGCCUGGGAAACUGGGUCUAAUACCGAAUAGGACCACAGAACACAUGUCCUGUGGUGGAAAGCUUUUGCGGUGUGGGAUGGGCCCGCGGCCUAUCAGCUUGUUGGUGGGGUGAUGGCCCACCAAGGCGACGACGGGUAGCGGCCUGAGAGGGUGUCCGGCCACACUGGGACUGAGAUACGGCCCAGACUCCUACGGGAGGCAGCAGUGGGGAAUAUGCACAAUGGGCGAAAGCCUGAUGCAGCGACGCCGCGUGGGGGAUGACGGCCUUCGGGUUGUAAACCUCUUUCACCAUCGACGAAGGUUCGGGUUUUCUCGGAUUGACGGUAGGUGGAGAAGAAGCACCGGCCAACUACGUGCCAGCAGCCGCGGUA